CAAACUCGCAUUUACCACUGCAAUGUUGGCACUGAUGGUCAUGUUAGUCUCGGAAUGUUGAAGGAUGGUUGGAGUCCGACACUAACCAUUACCAAAGUGCUAACUGCAAUUAGAUCACUUUUAACAAAUCCUGACCCUUAUAACGCUGUUGUCCCUGGCAUUGCUCACUUGUAUUUGGAAAACAAAGCAAAACAUG
Arachis ipaensis is the source of this 196-nucleotide non-coding RNA. The record is from RefSeq and is a predicted model, not a curated record. Lineage: Eukaryota; Viridiplantae; Streptophyta; Magnoliopsida; Fabales; Fabaceae.